Enterococcus asini ATCC 700915 is the source of this 33-nucleotide non-coding RNA. NCBI's taxonomy places the organism in Bacteria, Bacillati, Bacillota, Bacilli, Lactobacillales, Enterococcaceae. The record is from Rfam.
CUCUGGUGAAGCAAAUGAGCCAGGGCAAAGGAG